AUACGUAGGGUGCAAGCGUUAAUCGGAAUUACUGGGCGUAAAGCGUGCGCAGGCGGUUUUGUAAGACAGUGGUGAAAUCCCCGGGCUCAACCUGGGAACUGCCAUUGUGACUGCAAGGCUGGAGUGCGGCAGAGGGGGAUGGAAUUCCGCGUGUAGCAGUGAAAUGCGUAGAUAUGCGGAGGAACACCGAUGGCGAAGGCAAUCCCCUGGGCCUGCACUGACGCUCAUGCACGAAAGCGUGGGAGCAAACAGGAUUAGAUACCCUGGUAGUCCACGCCCUAAACGAUGUCAACUGGUUGUUGGGUCUUCAUUGACUCAGUAACGAAGCUAACGCGUGAAGUUGACCGCCUGGGGAGUACGGCCGCAAGGUUGAAACUCAAAUGAAUUGACGGGG
RNAcentral lists this ribosomal RNA (394 nucleotides) under uncultured bacterium. RNAcentral's name for it is "partial 16S ribosomal RNA". It matches the Rfam family "Bacterial small subunit ribosomal RNA", at positions 523 to 918 of the family's 1533-position model. The record is from RNAcentral.